UCAAUUAUGAAAAAAAUUAUAUAUUUUUUUAAAUAUAAGAAAGUACCAUUAGAAAAGUGUUAAAACCCAUUAUAUCAAGUUGAAAAAUAAACAAACUAAAACAUACAACCUAUAAAAAAUCUAACCAAGACCAAGCCCAACCCUCCUUAAUAAAAGGCUCAAAGCCCAAACAAACAAGUCUUAACAGAGCUAACCCUAAGAAGCAAGUUAAUCCGAAAAGGAUUAAGGAUCCCACAAGCCCACAUAUUCAGCGCCGCUCGAGAAAGUUCGUCAACGCUCCAAGAGCCUAUAGAAACCAUUAUCGAUGACCAAAAACUAUUCUCCAAUAACCUCAAACCACCAAAAGAAGCAACUUUAAGAGAACCAGAGGAAUAGCAACCAAACACACAUGGCACUGAUGAUGGCAAGAUAAUAUCAAAAGCAUCAACAACAGCACAACACAGGAUCUCGAUCUUAGCACCUUAAUGAACUUCGACAAGGACAAGAUAGAAGCAGAGUUUAGAGAUUGGAGCAACCCACCAGAGGGGCACUGUGAA
This 536-nucleotide long non-coding RNA is filed under the name Manihot esculenta (cassava). RNAcentral describes it as "long non-coding RNA (MESC_LNC012107)". Lineage: Eukaryota; Viridiplantae; Streptophyta; Magnoliopsida; Malpighiales; Euphorbiaceae. The record is from RNAcentral.